Molecule: ribosomal RNA, 397 nt
Filed under: uncultured bacterium
Lineage: Bacteria
Description: bacterial SSU rRNA
Rfam family: Bacterial small subunit ribosomal RNA
Source: RNAcentral
UCGGGAAUUUUGGGCAAUGGGCGAAAGCCUGACCCAGCAACGCCGCGUGAAGGAUGAAGUAUUUCGGUAUGUAAACUUCGUAAGAAUAGGAAGAAUAAAUGACGGUACUAUUUGUAAGGUCCGGCUAACUACGUGCCAGCAGCCGCGGUAAUACGUAGGGACCAAGCGUUGUUCGGAUUUACUGGGCGUAAAGGGCGCGUAGGCGGUGUGUCAAGUCAGUUGUGAAAUCUCCGAGCUUAACUCGGAACGGUCAACUGAUACUGUCACACUAGAGUACAGAAGGGGCAAUCGGAAUUCUUGGUGUAGCGGUGAAAUGCGUAGAUAUCAAGAGGAACACCUGAGGCGAAGGCGGGUUGCUGGGCUGAUACUGACGCUGAGGCGCGAAAGCCUAGGGGUA